ACAAGCAUGUCCCACUAAAGAGGGCCGAGGUGAUGUCAUUAGUGAGGAGCGGCUAGGCUGAGGGGGACGUGGGCGUUUUUUGAGCAGCGAGCCCCAGCGUGUCGUUGGCAGAGAGCGCGGCGACGCUGCGGAAGGGGCCUCCUGCAAUGCUAUCCCUCGACGGGAGGGAUAAUUUUAGCCCAGCCCUAGGUUUGGUUCCAGUGUGUCGGAGGAGCACCAAAGCCGACUGCUGCUGCGCAUCGGCUUUCAGGAGCAUUUCUAAGAUUGUGAAAGAGGAUUCGAUCAUCCUAAGACUCUGAAUGACAUCGCCUGCCCCAUCCUGACAUCCUCCACACCUCCUAAUUCUAAAAGCAUCCUGGGCAUGAAAGAGAAGGCACCAGGGCCCAGGGUGUUCUGGACUUGAUAUUCUUCGUCGUACCAAGGAAGGCUGUUGUACAAGCAUCCCAAUGGACUGCCCACCGGUCCCAAGAUGCCGAUUGGUUCACAUGCGACCCGUGGAGAUGAUGCAAGCAAAAAUAAUUGAAUCUUGUCCCAUCUCAGCAUGAGAACCCAACCUGCUGUCGGGCCACUAGCGGAAUAAUCCAUCAUCUGGCGGUCAGGAGCGGUCAACAGAUGUAACCGCAAGCGACCACAUCUGAGGGCAGUGGGAAGGCGUUGGAUUCAGAACCCUGCUUUGUCCACUUCAACACCUUUGGCCGUGAAGGAUGUGUGUGUGCACUUGUUAGCAGGUCCAGGCUAACACCAAAGUGGGGUGGUUCCCCUGCUCUCCGAUGACCAUAACGCCGUGGCAAAUGGAUGUAUAAUCUGUGAGGAACGGUGUGUAGAGAAACAAGGUCAAUAUUACUCACUUAGUAAAAAUCAUCUCUUCGGCACAGCUGUUUGGGUUUCUCACAGUCAUGGCUGAUUAUUUAGCUAGCUAACGCAGUGCUUAUUUGUAUUUACGGAACAAUUAUUUGGGGGUUUCAUGGUGGAGCCUCGUCUGUGAUUCGAACCGUAUCCAAGCCCCGUUGGUUUACUUCAGGCGGUUCCGCCAGUCGGCAAGCCCAGGUGGGGGGUGGGGGGGGGGCAAUCUGUCCUGCAGCUUCGGACUAAGCUAUUUCAGGCCUCCUGUCUAUAGGAGAGGAUGGGGGAGGAAGUGUGUGGGUCCGUGUCCUGAGGGGGACC
Paramormyrops kingsleyae is the source of this 1164-nucleotide non-coding RNA. Lineage: Eukaryota; Metazoa; Chordata; Actinopteri; Osteoglossiformes; Mormyridae. The record is from RefSeq and is a predicted model, not a curated record.